This 445-nucleotide ribosomal RNA is filed under the name uncultured bacterium. RNAcentral describes it as "bacterial SSU rRNA". It matches the Rfam family "Bacterial small subunit ribosomal RNA", at positions 338 to 795 of the family's 1533-position model. The record is from RNAcentral.
CCUACGGGAGGCAGCAGUGGGGAAUAUUGGUCAAUGGGCGCAAGCCUGAACCAGCAACGCCGCGUGAGGGAUGAAGGUCUUCGGAUUGUAAACCUCUUUCAGCAGGGACGAAGCGCAAGUGACGGUACCUGCAGAAGAAGCACCGGCUAACUACGUGCCAGCAGCCGCGGUAAUACGUAGGGUGCAAGCGUUGUCCGGAUUUAUUGGGCGUAAAGAGCUCGUAGGCGGCCUGACGCGUCGGAUGUGAAAACUCGGAGCUUAACUCCGAGCCUGCAUUCGAUACGGUCAAGCUAGAGGAUGGCAGGGGAAACUGGAAUUCCUGGUGUAGCGGUGAAAUGCGCAGAUAUCAGGAGGAACACCGGUGGCGAAGGCGGGUUUCUGGGCCAUUUCUGACGCUGAGGAGCGAAAGCGUGGGGAGCAAACAGGAUUAGAUACCCUAGUAGUC